Molecule: non-coding RNA, 178 nt
Filed under: Triticum aestivum (bread wheat)
Lineage: Eukaryota; Viridiplantae; Streptophyta; Magnoliopsida; Poales; Poaceae
Description: Bacterial small subunit ribosomal RNA
Rfam family: Bacterial small subunit ribosomal RNA
Source: Rfam by way of RNAcentral
GAGGGUUCUAUAUAUAGAUAGCCGUCAAAUCCCAGGGCUCAACCCUGGACAGGCGGUGGAAACUACCAAGCUGGAGUACGGUAGGGGCAGAGGGAAUUUCCGGUGGAGCGGUGAAAUGCAUUGAGAUCGGAAAGAACACCGUUAAAAAUAAUCAACCAACGUCGACUAUAACCCCUAG